AGCCUACCAACAUCUCCUCCCCGCUGCCAGCUUAUUACUCAACAGUUCAGGAUUUACUCAUUCAGCACUUUGAAUGCUGUACAGCGUGUUUGCACGCUAGUAUGCAUCGUUGGCCCGCAGCAUCUCUCUAGCAUUUUUGUCCUUUGUUUUCAAUUCUCGAACAAUCUUGGGAAAAUACGAUUGGCAGCCGCACGGCAUGUCCUUGGAGACCCUCGUAUUGUUGAUGUUCUCCUGCAAUACGCAUUCAGGGCUGAUAAUUCUCGAGUGUCGCCAUCCAGUUGCCUGGUUGCCUGAUUGCCUGAUUGCCUGAUGGCCCACGGGCAAUCUGCAAGACUGUCUUUCGUCCAACUCUGGAGACCACAUUUCCAAAGCCCCCACUGAGAAGGAGACUGUUCAUCGAUAAUAAAUAUACGGCAUUUUGACUCAGCAUGCUCAGCUCUGCCUGCAGAAUCGAACUCCCUCAGGAUCUUCAACGGGCCCAGAACUGCGGCGCUAGCCCAUCAGGCCAAUUGCCGUUGUCAAACAAUCGAAUACAGGGCGCCUUCAACUUCAAAAAGCUCGACCGAAUCCACCCAGGAAAAUGUCUGUUCGUUUGAACUUCAUUCUUUGCCCGAGUGAGAACCUAGUAAUGUCAAAAGUUCGAGAUUCUUUUUAACUAGAUGUUGGGAUUCAUUGCUAUGUAAGCACCAUGAAAAGCCCUUGAAAAGUGGUGCCAGAAAAGAGAAAAUUAGACUCAAAUCAAUCGUACAGUACAUCUUAGACGCAUUCUUGAAAAGUUUCUACGUUAUGAGUAUAAGCUCAACUUCUGCUCGCCACAUGGCGCGAUGUCGGUUUAUAUAAACAAUGAAGAAUGCACUUCGGUUCGCACAACAUAAUGUAUUUCGGAAUCAUGCUCAGUCCAAUGCCGGAUUUGGAGUCGCCUCUCCAUGCCCCAGAGGUCCCGCAUACUCUGUGUUAGAAUUCGGAACCAUUCUGGGGAGCAUUCAAUUUCUCGGAAAGAAUGGCACCUGGACCAACUUCAACGCCAC
RNAcentral lists this small RNA (1028 nucleotides) under Histoplasma ohiense. RNAcentral's name for it is "hypothetical lncRNA". Lineage: Eukaryota; Fungi; Ascomycota; Eurotiomycetes; Onygenales; Ajellomycetaceae. The record is from RNAcentral.